UUUUCAUCAUUGACUCUUGUUUUUCUCUUAAAUCUUAUUGAACAAUCAUUGAGAUUUUUUUUUUGUUUCUUCUUGUGUCUUAAAUUGCAGAAUAUGUUCCUUUUAGCGAACUAAUAUCCUCUGAUUCCUUGAUUGCGAAACCUCUGUUUCUCAGUUGUUGAUUUUGUUCCAUUUACUUUUUUACUUGCUCUCUCUCUCACAUACAAAGACCAUAGCUUUUCCACAAGUUUCGUGGCAGAAAAUUUUCAGGCUUUCUAUAUCAGAUUUUGAGUGUUUGGUUACUUUAACAGCAUGCUUCUGCUGAUGGAUCUGGAAACUGAAAAUCGAAUAGCUUCGGUUCUGUUGAGAGAAGCAGCAGAGUUGAGGAGACAAGCUGAAAAAGAUGGUGUCCGAGCUUAUCUUGAGAAGCCUAAUGUAAGGCAUCGACCUAACUCGAGGUUUCUCACAGCAACUUUCCUUGGUGUUCAACAAUGUAAUGCUUUUCUGUCCACCCUUUACUUAUUUUCGUUUUAUAAAAGUUAAGAUUGAAAAGGACAAGCCUUUGCAUUGCUAUAGUGUGUGAUAUUCUUUUGUUCGUUGAAGCAAUAGCUGUAUGUUUUUGGAAGAGGAUUAUUUUAAUUGUUGGUGAAUGGUCGAUUCACAAUAAGAAAGUUGGCAGAAUCUGAAAGUUUUGUUUUGGGUUCUGCGUUUCUUAACAGUUCAAUGUUGUGACUUACGUGUCUGUCUAGUACUCAAUGUAGCUCAAUAUAUUAAUUAUUUACUCUAAUCUCUUGCAUGUUUCUUGACCAUAAUACAACAAACAGAGCGGUAGAAACCAAUGAGAUGUGGAAGGCUCAGGAGCAAGAAAACGAAAGGCUCAAAAGAAAAUCAAGAGAGGAAAGCAGCAGCAGCAGUAGCCAAAUAAAGCGGAGUAGUAGUUUCUCGAAAAGGAGUUUGGAUAAGAAAUGUAGCUCCAUUAAUGAGGAGAGAAAGAUCACUCAUCAAUCAUCAUUGGACAAAAGAUUGUACUUGGAUGAUGAUGAUGAAGGUUUAGGAGAUGAUGAGAAUUGAGUAUUUUCUCCAAUCACGGUAUAUAUGUCUAUUUGCUAUAGCUUCUGUUACCUUUAGCUUCCUUCAUUUUCUGAGUCUCUUUGUAAAUGACAGGAACAAAUGUGGAAGAGGCUCUGUUGGUCCUAGGAUGGAUGAAACUUUCCCUUAUCUUCCCACCGAGAAGGUUGAUCAAUUGCAAAGUUCUGAUACAAGGGAAAGGAAGGUAGUCUUGCUGCAGCUUGGGCUCUAGCUAAUCUAUAUUAUCUUGCAUGUUAGAAACCUCUUAUAAAGGUUUAUAAAACUAUUUAUAAGAACUUAUAAAUCAUUUUUAAGGUUUUAAAAAUAUAUUUAUAAAAGUUUAUGAAUCUGUAUAUAAGGGUUUGUAAAAAUAUUAUAAGAGUUUAAUAAUCUUCAUAGCACAAUUUAUAAGAGUUAAUAAAUCUUUUUCAAGAGUUUAUAAAUCUUUACAAACAUUUAGAAGUAAAAUAUUCAUAAAGCUAUUAUAAGUGUCUAUAAUUCUAAUAUAAAUGUUUGUAAAUUAUUUAUAAUAAAUAAAAGAUUAUUUAUAAUGGUUUAUAAAACAAUUAAUAAGACUUUAUAAAAUCAGUCUAUAAGGUUUUUUAAAUAUAUUAUUAAAGUAUAAUUCAUUUAUAAGAGUUUAUAAAAUCAGUUUAUAAGGAUUAUAAAUAAUUAAUAAAUGUUUAUGAAUGAUUUAUGAAGAUUUAGAAAUCAUUUAUAAAUCUUUAUCAAUAGUUUAUAUAUAUUCCUCAUGUGGUGGAAAACAGCGAGAUGAGGCAGCAGAGGUUCGUGGGGAUAUUGAGUUUGCUGUAUAGUUCUUAGUUAAGAAUAAGAGCGAGUGUCUCCAAGAAGAAUAGGGAGUGUUGGAGAAGUCUCCGGAGGCGGCUUUAGAUGUGGAUCAGACGAUCUUCAUGGUUGUGGCGAAAGACGUGGAGAGGAGCAAAACGACGGUGUUAUGGGCGGCAAGAAACUUCUCCAGCAAGAAGAUUUGCUUGCUUUACGUCCAUCGUCCUGCUCGGCCUGCCUCCUGCAGUGAGAAUCUUCUGCUUCUCUUUCUCUCUGACUUAACUGUUUCGUGGUGAAUUAUAGAAUAUUUAUGGAUGUUGAAUUGUUCUUGAGUGUAGAUUUGCUCAUGAAUCAUGAUUGAAUCUUACCGAGUCUAUAUAUAUACCCUUUAGUUGAUUGUGGAUGAUGUUAAUGAUGUACCUCUGUUUGCUAAGAAAAUCUGAGAAAUAAUAUAAUUGUUUUAUAAAGAAGAGGCAGAGAAACCAUAUCAAAUUAUAUCAUCAUAAUAAAAUCCUUAUAAGGCUUUAUAAAGAUAAUAAAUAAUUUAUAAAUGUUUAUAAAUCAUUUAUGAAAAUUCAGAAAUCAUUUAUAAACCUUUAUCAAUAGUUUAUAUAUAUUCCUAUAAAUGAUUUAUAAACCUUUAUAAAAUCACUUAUAAGAAUAUACCAAAUAUUUAUAAGGUUUUAUAAAAUCAUUUAUAAAUAUUUAGAAAGGUAAUUUCAUUUAUAAAGUCUUAAAAAUCAUUUAUAUGAAUAUAUAGAAACUUUUUAUAUGAAUAUAUAGAAACUUUUUAUAAGGGUCUAUAAAUCAUUUAUAAGAAUUUGUAGAAUAUCAAAAGGUAAUUAUUUUAUGAAGUCUUAUAACAUUUUAUAGAGGCUUAUAAAUCUGUAUAUAAGGGUUUAUAAGAAUAUUAUAAGAGUUUAAUAAUCUUCAUCGCACAAUUUGUAAGAGAAAAUAAAUCUUUUUCAAGAUUUAUAAAUCUUUACAUUUAGAAGUAAAAUAUUCAUAAAGCUAUUAUAAGUUUAAAAAGUUUAAAAAGUAAAAUCGGUGAUAUAAAUACAUGAAGAUGCUCGUUACUAAUUUUCUUAAAAAAGAAACUAGAGUAAAUGUAAAGUACAAAUGAUUUACAGCUUACAAUCACUUAUAAGAACACGUGUUACACAUAUAUAUUACAGAAAUACAUGUGUCUUGUUUCUCUUAUAUGUGUCAAGAACAUAUAUAUUACAUAUAAAAACACAUGUCUUCUCUCUCUUUCUGCAACUCCAAUCUUCUUGAAAAUUGUGUUUCCCUCUGAAAACAUAAAAACAUAAGGUAAUUAUAAAUCAUUUAUAAGAAUUUGUAGAAUAUCAAAAGGUAAUUAUUUUAUGAAGUCUUAUAACAUUUUAUAGAGGCUUAUAAAUCUGUAUAUAAGGGUUUAUAAAAAUAUUAUAAGAGUUUAAUAAUCUUCAUCGCACAAUUUGUAAGAGAAAAUAAAUCUUUUUCAAGAGUUUAUAAAUCUUUUAUAAGAUUUUAUAAAUCUUUACAUUUAGAAGUAAAAUAUUCAUAAAGCUAUUAUAAGUUUAAAAAGUUUAAAAAGUAAAACCGGUGAUAUAAAUACAUGAAGAUGCUCGUUACUAAUUUUCUUAAAAAAUAAACUAGAGUAAAUGUAAAGUACAAAUGAUUUACAGCUUACAAUCACUUAUAAGAAAACGUGUUACACAUAUAUAUUACAGAAAGACAUGUGUCUUGCUUCUCUUAUAUGUGUCAAGAACAUAUAUAUUACAUAUAAAAACACGUGUCUUCUCUCUCUCUCUCUCUGCAACUCCAAUCUUCUUGAAAAUUGUGUUUCCCUCUGAAAACAUAAAAACAUAAAGCUAAAUAUAUAUAUAUAUAUAUAUAUAUAUAUAGUUUUACGAUUUCUUUUAUAAGGCCUUAUAAAUAUAAAAAUUGUAAUAAAUACCUCAAGCGGGUUACCUUUAUAAAAUCACUUAUAAAUUUUAUAAGAGCUUAUAAACCCUUGUAUCAACCAUCUAUAAAGUUUUUAAAACAUAUAUAAAUAUUUAUAAAACUAUUUAAAAGGUUUAUAAAACUAUUUACAAGAACUUAUAAGCUAUUUAUAAGAGUUUUUCCAUUUAUUUAUAAGUGUUCAUAAAUUAAUUUACAAGGUUUAUAAAUCUAUUUAUAAGAGUUUAUAAAUCACCAAAUUAACCAACUUUCCACCAUUUCUUUGCUUAUUAAAGAACAUCAUUCUUUUACAGUUUCUUUUAUAAGGCCUUAUAAAAAGGUAUAAUUGAGCAUUGAGAUGAUUGAGCAUUGAGAGAUACUUGGGGUUUCUGAAUUUACAAUGGUUUAUAAAAAUUUAUAAAGGUUUACAAAACCACAAUGUUAGAUGAACGCCUCAGUUCUGCAGAUGCACAUAAUGUAUCCAGACCAGAUAUAUAGCCUUCUAGGACCUUUCUCACAGCAAUAGCAAAAGCCUGAUUAACAAGAGUAUAGUGGCUCUUGUUAUUGGCUUCUUCAUUUUCACCUACUUUACAGCUCCCCCCUGUCCCUCAACUUCUAACUUAAAGUUCAUGAAAUGGGUCUACGAAGUUAUGGAGAAGAAAGACCAAAGAACCAAAACAGCCUAUGUUUCAAAGAAUUUGUCCCAAGGCGUCAGUGCUUGAUAACCGAUGCCACAAGCUAUGACUUUGGUGGGUUGUCCUAUCAGCUGGCUCAGAGAAUAAUCCAUAAGAGAGCUUUUGUAUGCUAAUAAGAGAAGAACACCUUGCAGAGCAUUCAACGCCAACCUAACCAAGCUUAAUUCCUAUUAAAAAGCAACAAAAUUGUCAGAGAAUGUGGCCAAAAGUAGAAGUAGUCUCAAUAUACUUCUUUCAUUUCAUCUAAGCACUAAAGAUAUUUUAUUGUUCUGUAAUUAAUUACUAAGAAUAGAAAUCUGAGAACAUCACAUCGUAAUCUUCCCUAAGAAAAUGAUUUCGUCGUAACUCAAUACAGUACAUCGAGUACUAAACUCAAAUCAAUAAAAUUGAUACUUCUUUUUCUCCAAAUCAUUCCCUAUUAGGUUUCCGAUCCUAGCCACUCAAGCGAAAUGCAAAGCUCAUGUUUUCACGCAUACAAACAUGAAAAGCGUAAAUGGUGAACUUACAGAGACAAAGGAAGAAGACGGAGGAGAAGCACGAGUUGGAGGAGAAAAUUGGCAGCUCUGAGAAUGUAAGGACUCUCAAUUACUUGGUGGAAGGUACCUCCUCCUGUUUGAGCUUCUCCAGAAGCGAGAGAUCGUCAUUAUUUCUCAAUGGAGGAGAAAGUGAGAGAUCGUCUUGUUCGCCUGAGCUUGUUGACUUUUUCAGCUUCAUCGGAGAAUUCGUCAGCGCCGUCAAAUCCACCAGAGAACUCGCCAGCACCGUCCGGAGAACUCGUCAGGAUCGUCGGAUUUGAUCACCGUCGAAUUCGAAAUCAAUCUGGCAACUCUCAGAUUUGGAAUUGAGGGAGAAAGAGAGUAAUUUAGGUUUAAUUAUUCAGGGGUAUAAUGGUACUUUGUCUAUUAAAAUUUUAAUGGUAAAGUUGAAAAGUGUAAAGUUGAAAAGUGGUAUUAGGAAAGUGGUAUUAGUGGCAAUUCCCCAACAACCUUUUUCCUUCUUAACUUUAUUACAGAGAAAAAUAAUAUCAAUUCAUCUAUAAAAUUUAUUUAUAGUAAGAAUUACUAUUUUCCUUUAUAUCAGUCAAAAAAUUAUCUUCUUAAAGGUACUUAAUUAUAAUAAUAAAUAAAAUAUUAUAGAAAUAUCUUCAAAUAGUACUAAAACAAUAUUUAUUCCAAAAUUACAUAUUUCAAAAUAUUAUAUUUCUAUAUAUAACUAAAUAAUUAAAUCAAUAUAUUAAUUUUUUUCUUUUUUUAUAAAUUUACAAUAAAUAUAUUUACAUCUGGAUUUGGUGAUUAGGAUGUAGGAUUUAAUAUUUAAGAGAUGAAGUUCUAGUGACGUUUCAGAGAACAAGAUGAACAAAUAAGAAUAGAACGUAUAGGAAUAAAAUAGAAUGAUUGUUCUUUCUCAAAUUUAACAAAGAAUAAUUUUAUUCUUUAUUUCUCUACAAAGAAAAUGAAUGAGAGGGAAAAAUUAUUCUUUGUGAAUGAUGAUUUUUUUUAGGAAUGAUAAAGAAUUGAAUAUUACUUCUCGUUCUUUAGUCACCAUUCAGUCUUUGAGUUUUGGGAUUUAAAGUAAUUUAAUAUUUUCCUGUUUAAUAAUACUAUUUUGAUUUUUUUAUAUGUAUACUAUUUCUAUGAUAAAAAUGAAGUAGUACCUAUUGAUGGUCUUUUCCAAAAUAUUGUUUCUGUUGCUUUAAAGUCAAAAUUAUUUAUUUUUAAAAAGGUAUUUAAAAUUCUAAAACUUAUCUCUAUAAUAUUAUUUGAGAAGUCAGUUUCUUAUGUGUCACGCUCAUGUUAACUCUCACGGUGGUUUAUUACACUUACACCCUUAAUAAAUUAAAAAUAUUAUAAGUGAUUUCCAUUUAUUAUUAUUAUUAGUGAUUUCCAUUAAUAACAAUUAUCUAUGUUUCCUUUUUCUUAAUAAAACUGUAAUUAACUUUUUAAUGUAAUUUUCCUUUUUAUUAAAACACAUAAAUAAUAAAAUGAAACUUUUUAUAAAAUAUAAACAUAGAAAUUUAUACAAAAACGACUUUAGUUUUUUUAUUCUUUAUGUUUCCUACAACAAAAAAAAAUCAAUAACUUUUAAAAAAUUAUACUUAUAAAUAUAUAUAAAAUAACUUUACAAAAACAUAAAAAUAUAAUAAUUCAGAUAAAUAUAUUUUUCUAAAAGAUAAUAAUAUUUUUAUUAUAAAUAUCUUUUGAUCUAACAAUUAAUAAAAAAAUAAUUUGGAACAGCAUAAAUGAUUAUUUAAUAUCUUAUUUUUUUCCAAAAAUUAGUAUAUCUUAUGAUUAUUUUAAAACCAAAUAAAUAUGUUAUAAUGUGAGGCUACAACAAUAUAAAUAGUAUUUCUUAUUUAUCAAUAUAUUUUUGAUUGAAUGAUUAGAAUUUUCAUAAAAAAAUUAUUAACACUUCAAUUUUAUAAUUUUAUGGGAAACAUCAUACAUCAAAUUAUACAUAAUCUUACAAAAUAUAUUUUUCAUCCUAAGAUAAAAGCCUUGUUCGGAAACUCGCUAGGCGCUACGCGUGCGGCAUAUACGGGCCUAGCGAUUUAUUAAAAAAUCAGAAAACAUCGGGGAUUAUACGGGAGGAAUUUUUUAUACUUUUAUAUGUAUAAUACCACAUUUUAUACGUAUAAUACAAAAAUUUUAUAUACCACAUUGAUUUAUAAAUAAUUAAGGGGAAUUGCCACUAAUACCACUUUCCUAAUACCACUUUUCAACUUUACACUUUUCAAUUUUACCAUUAAAAUUUUAAUAGGUAAAAGACUAUUGUAUCCUAACUAAUCAAAAGAAAUGGAGAACCCAUCAUCGUCUCCAACCUGGCCAACGCCUCCGCUUAUGAGUCUGUCGCCGCCGAAUUGAGCUCGAUGCUCAUCGAGAAUCGUCAAUCCGCCAUUGUUAUAUCCACCUCCAUAGCUGUUCUCAUCGGCUGCAUCGUCAUGCUUGUCUGGUGAAGAUCUGAUGGCUCCGGCAGCUCGUAACGUGUCGAGCAGCUUAAGCCUUUGGUGAUCAAACGCCUCCUCUUACGAGUCCGCCGCCGUAUAUUGACAUCUUCGAUUCACCUCAGCUCAUGUCUUCGCCUGCUCAGGUGAACUCAUCCUUUCCAAUUCCAAUCCCUAGAUGAUGGAUCUCACGCCAAUGACGAGUUCUCCACGAAGCUAACAGAAUUUACAAGCUCAAACGAACAAGACGAUCUCUCUCCCAACACCUAAGAAACGCUAACAAAGGUAAGAGGAUAAUAGAUGGUGAUUUUCAUCUCUUUCUGUAAUUGUAGGUUGGUAUAUCAAAUUCGAUCAAUUUCUAGGAAGGAAGACGAAGUUUUGAAGUUUUUCUCAUGAAGUUUUCAAAUAUCAAAUUUAUAAGACCUUAUAAAUUGGGUCCUUUGGAAUCUUACUGUUGAUCUGCUAGCAAUCAAAAGACAUAGAAAUUAACAUAUAUUUAAAUAAUGAGAAAUUAAUAAUUUAAGAUUAAGAUUAUUCCAUGAUUUCUUCUUCUCUUGGUUGAUAUGUUAAUGUUGCAGGAGAUUACAAAGGUGUGGUAUGAGAUUUUGGAUUUAAGGGAUGCUGUGGAGAAUAUGUGUGAUGAUAUGCAUAUCAAGUACCUCACUUUCUUGAGGUAAUACAAUGAUACUAUUUGUAGUUUGACUAGCAAGGUUUAGUAUGUGCACUAUAUGAGGUGGAAGGUUGGUGUUUUGGUAGUGUAAUGUUCUGUUUGGUACUAUAUGAGAUUUAUUUUUUAUGUCUUGUUUGUGUAUAAUAUCUAUAGAAGCAGUGGAGAUGGAGCAUGAGUUUGUUGAGUUACCAAAGCAUAUUAUUUUUGAAUCUUGUUUUUGGAAGUGAGUGAUGAUGCGUAUGAAUAACAUGUGAUUGGCUUGCGCUCAGAUUUUGAAGAUCGACGAGGUUGGUGAGCUGUUUGAAGAAGCAAGAGGAACUCUGAACAAGAAUGUGGUUUGUAUGAUCAGAUUAGUUCGACAUGUAAAUGAGUGUGGUUCCAAUCGUUUCUUUUAUAGAAGAAUGAGAUAUGGAGAAGCCUUGAUAUUCUCAGAUCAUGUUAGUAACAACUAACAAAAACUGAGUUUUGCAAGUACAAACUCUAUUGGAGCUAGAUUCAAAUGAUUUACAAAGCAUUAUAAAUUAGUUUAUAAAUAUUUAUAAUUAACUUAUAGACUGCAGUAGAUAUUUUAUAAAGUAUUAAAAAACUAUUUAUAAACCUAUAUGAAUCAAUUUAUAUAUUCUUGUAAAUCAAAAUAAAAUAUCCCAAGUCUACUGAUUGCUUGAAGAGCUCAUCAACUUGGUGCUCCCCAAUCCGCCAUGGCUCUAUGAUGAUGAUGCCUUCUACUCCUCUUGCUUGGCGGUUUGAUUCAGCUGAAUUCACACUCAAAGAAGACUAUAACGACUUCUUUCUGAAUAUAUGUUUCUUAAUGUCUCAAGAAGCAUUCAUCCUUCAGAUUAAGUACUAGUAACAAGCAACUAUCCUUUAACAAUGCUUCAUUUCUUAAUAUACUUACAACGCUUUGUCAUACACUCUACACCUGAUUUCAUGAAAUAAAAAGUUGUAACACUUCAAAAUACCACUAACCUUAUUCUUCUGAUAUGUUUUUUGGCUGAAUAGAUAUUUCUCUAACAGCUUAAAAAGACUCUCUAAACUAUUUAUAAAUAUUUUGAUAAAGUCUUAUAAAACCUUUAUAUUUUUUUGUAAACCCUAUACAAACACUUCAAAACCCAUUAAAAUCUUUUAUAAACCCUUAUAAAUUUUUUUUUUGUCAACAUUCUUUUCAUUUAAGCCUCAUGGGCUGAAAUUGUGGGCACAAGUCUUUCGUCUUAAAGCCCAACACUUUGAUACACAAGAUUAAAUUCAUAAAAAUAAAGAACACGUGCAUGUUUUAUAAAGAGAUGAUGAUACGUGGCAGAUUCUGAGGCACAUGCGGACAGCGAACAAUGCUCCACCGCUUCAGACCCCACCGCUUCAGCUCCACGAACAAAGAAACCUCAUUUGUCGGACUUACAAAUCUUAUAUGUCUUUAUAAAUGGUUUAUAGACUCCUACAAAUAAUUUUACAUACCCUUAUAAAUUAUUUUAUAAUGGUGUAUCAAUUUUAUAAAUUAUUUUUAUAAACCCUUAUAAAUUAUUUAUAUACCUUUAUAAACCCUUAUAAACUAUUAUACAAACCAUUAUAAGUUGUUUUAUAAAGCUUUCUAAAUGGUUAUAGACUCUUUUAAUUGAUUUAUAAACCUAUACAACUCUUAUAAUACCCCUUAUAAAUUGAAUAUAUGCUUUCAUAACAUUUUUAUAAACUUUUAUAAAUAGUUUAUAAAUUGCUUUUAUAAAUAGUUUAUAAAUUUAUAAAUUAUUUACAUUCAUCAAUAAUCAUAGAUCUACCCCUAUUGAUUGAUCUGAGAAAGUGAACCAUAGAUCUUAGAGACUCUUACAAAUAAUUUAUAAACAUUUAUAAAUCGCUUAUAAACUUACAAAAAUGUUUUAUAAACUUUUGUAAAUGAUUUAUAAACUCUUAUUUGCCCUUUAAAUUUCUUUUCUCUUCACUUUUAUCUUCUUUCAUGUGUUAUUGUUCUAUAUCAUAUACUGCAAAAAGUAAAUCCACAAAAUUUUGUUCUCAUUAACUUUUCUUCUUUUUAUAUCCUUAUUGAACUAAUUGUACAACACUGUCAAAAUCUAUGUCAUUAAGAUCUGAAUGCGUUGGGGUCACCAAAUGUUUGUAUUCCUUAGAGAAUCCAAACAUUGUAUUAACCAAAAGAUGUAACAAAUAAUAAACAAGUUUUAUAAGUCUCCCAAAUCUCUAAUUUACAAAUUUAUAAACCCAUAUAAAACUACAUUUAUAAUAUUUUAUAAAAUGCUUCACAUUAUUGACCAAGACAUCGAUUGGAUAAUCACUUUUGGAUUGUCUAGUGGAUCUGUUCCAGCUUCAUAAAUCCUCAGAUGAAUCACGAAGAUGUGCAGAAUUCAUUGCCAUCUAACUGCCUGGCGAAAUAAAAAGAUAAUGUUAACUUUUAAUCGUGUAAAGAUACCUUAUCCAAGCAUAAUGUUCAUGUAUUUUGGUAACAGUCUUACAAAGAAUAUAGGAUAACACAACACAAGACUUCUCAUGUUCUCAUGUUCACACGUUUAUAUGUUGUUCUAUAGAUAUAUACGAUGAACUCUUGUUUAAGAACUUCUUUUAUAACACCUUGUUUAAUAAGACUUUCUAAAUGGUUAUAGACUCUUAUAAUUGAUUUAAAGACCUCCGGUUGAUUUCUUAACAUGUAUAUACCUAUAUAAACCUUGAAAAUAAUUUACAUACCUUUAUAAACCCUUUAAAAUUAUUUUAUUAACUCUUAUAGAUUGUUUAAUAAGCCUUUCUAAAUGGUUAUAGACUCUUAUAAUUGAUUUAAAGACCUUAUAAUUAUAUACAUACCCCUUAUAAAUUAUUUAUAAACAUUUAUACUUUUUGUAAUAAACAUUUAUAUAUAGUUUAUAUACUCUAUAAAUUGUUUUAUAAGCCUUUCUAAAUGGUUAUAGACUCUUAUAAUUGAUUUAAAGACCUCCAAUUGAUUUAUAAACAUGUAUAUACCUAUAUAAACCUUAUAAAUUAUAUACAUUCCCCUUAUGAAUUAUUUAUAAACUUUUAUAAUUUUUGUAAUAAACAUUUAUAAAUAGUUUAUAUACUUUAUAAACUGUUUUAUCAGCCUUUAUAAUAGGUUUAUAAAAUUCAUAAAAAAAAUUAAAUAAAAUUUUAUAAAUGAUCUAUAAACUCUUAUUAAUUAUUUAUAUAUCCUUAUAAACCCUUAUAAAUUAUUUUACAAACUCUUAUAAAUGAUUUUUAUAAGUCUUCAUUAAUUAUUAGAGACUCUUAUAUAUUAUUUAAGAGACUUUCUAAUUGAUUCCUAAACCUAUAAACCAUAUAAAUUGUAUACAUACCCCUUAUAAAUUGUUUAUAAAAUUUCAUUAUGUUUUUAUAAACAGUUAUAAAUGGUUUAUAGACUUUAUUAAUUGUUCUAUAAACCUUUAUAAAUGGUUUAGAUACUCUUACAAAUAAUUUAUAAACCUUUAUAAAUAGCUUAUAAACUUUACAAACCGUUUUAUAAAUGAUUUACAAACUCUUAUUUGCUUUUCAGCUUUCUUUUUUCUUCAUUUUUAUCUUCUUUCAUGUGUUAUUUUCCUAUAUCAUAUGUUGCAAAAAGUAAAUCUACAAAUCUUUGUUCCCAUUAAAUUUUCUUCAUUUUAUAUCCUUGUUGAACUAAUUGUACAACACUGUUAAAAUCCAUGUCAUCAAGAUCAGGAUGUGUUGGGGUCACCAAAUGUUUGUAUUCAUCAGGAAAUCCAAGCAUUGUAUUAACCAUAAGAAGUAAUAAAGAAUAAACAACGUUUUAUAAGUCUCUACAAACUUCUACUUUAUAAACCCUUAUAAAACUACAUUUAUAAUCUUUUAUAAAAUGCUUCACAUUAUUGAUCAAGACACCGAUUGGAUAAUCACUUUUAGAUUGUCUAGUGGUUCUGUUCUAGCUUCAUCAAUCCUCGGACGCAAUCUCAAAGAUGUGCAAAAUUCAUUGCUAUCUAACUGCAAGACGAAAUAAAAAGAUGAUGUUAACUUUUAAUCAUGGUCUAAAGAUACUUUAUCCAAGCAUAAUGUUCAUGUAUUUUGGUAACAGUCUUACAAAGAAUAUAGGAUAAUAAAAGACAAGACUUCUCAAAUUCACACAUUUAUAUGUUUUUUAUAGACAUAUAUGAUCAACUCUUGUUUACAAACUUCUUUAUAAAACCUUGUAAAGUAUUGAGUUGUACUAUCAACAAUGUCUUAAAACCCAGAUUUAUAAGAGGUUCUAAUUCUUUAAAAUACAAUGUUCACUAUCCAAAAAUAUUUCUCCUAACCAGAACUAUUCAAAUGACAAGUCUAAAUCAAUCUUAUUUGUUUUUUGAAUAACAGAGGAAAGAAAAUCUUAAAAUUACUUGAACCCAGAUUUAUAAAGGUUUAUAAUUUUUUGAAAACUCAAUGUUCACUAUCAAAACUCUUUCUCUUAGAUCGACCUGUUGUAAACCAACCUUUGUUGAUUUUUUUUUAUAACAGAAAGAACAAAUCCAAAAUAUUACUUGAAUCGAACAAAAAAAAAU
This is a long non-coding RNA of Brassica rapa (field mustard), 12552 nucleotides long. RefSeq lists it as uncharacterized. The record is from RefSeq and is a predicted model, not a curated record. Lineage: Eukaryota; Viridiplantae; Streptophyta; Magnoliopsida; Brassicales; Brassicaceae.